Molecule: ribosomal RNA, 460 nt
Filed under: uncultured bacterium
Lineage: Bacteria
Description: partial 16S ribosomal RNA
Rfam family: Bacterial small subunit ribosomal RNA
Source: RNAcentral
CCUACGGGAGGCAGCAGUGAGGAAUAUUGGUCAAUGGACGAGAGUCUGAACCAGCCAAGUAGCGUGAAGGAUGACUGCCCUAUGGGUUGUAAACUUCUUUUAUAUGGGAAUAAUAUGUUCCACGUGUGGGAUUUUGUAUGUCCCAUAUGAAUAAGGAUCGGCUAACUCCGUGCCAGCAGCCGCGGUAAUACGGAGGAUCCGAGCGUUAUCCGGAUUUAUUGGGUUUAACGGGAGCGUAGGUGGAUUGUUAAGUCAGUUAUGAAAGUUUGCGGCUCAACCGUAAAAUUGCAGUUGAAACUGGCAGUCUUGAGUACAGUAGAGGUGGGCGGAAUGCGUGGUGUAGCGGUGAAAGGCUUAGAUAUCACGAAGAACUCCGAUUGCGAAGGCAGCUCACUGGACUGCAACUGACACUGAGGCUCGAAAGUGUGGGUAUCAAACAGGAGUAGAUACCCCAGUAGUC